CGCAAAUCAUCCAGGAGUAAAUCCCCCAGAACAAAACAAUGGAACUGUCCACUAAUGUGUAAAAAUGGUCAGGCCUCAAUAAUGUUUGCCUGGGCUAAGAAUGCUCCUCCAACUGUCAUGCCCAAAGGUCAUCAUCUAACUAAAGACCCUUAUAUAAUAUACAGUAAUAACUUGUAUUAAUAUUUUUAUUUUCUACACCUUUGAUUUGAUUGCUACUUG
Long non-coding RNA from Biomphalaria glabrata, 219 nucleotides. RefSeq lists it as uncharacterized. The transcript is spliced from 3 exons. The record is from RefSeq and is a predicted model, not a curated record. Lineage: Eukaryota; Metazoa; Mollusca; Gastropoda; Planorbidae.